RNAcentral lists this ribosomal RNA (253 nucleotides) under uncultured bacterium. Its description in RNAcentral is "partial 16S ribosomal RNA". It matches the Rfam family "Bacterial small subunit ribosomal RNA", at positions 524 to 776 of the family's 1533-position model. The record is from RNAcentral.
UACGGAGGGUGCAAGCGUUAUCCGGAUUCACUGGGUUUAAAGGGUGCGUAGGCGGGCAGGUAAGUCCGUGGUGAAAUCUCUGAGCUUAACUCAGAAACUGCCAUGGAUACUAUUUGUCUUGAAUAUUGUGGAGGUAAGCGGAAUAUGUCAUGUAGCGGUGAAAUGCUUAGAUAUGACAUAGAACACCAAUUGCGAAGGCAGCUUACUACACAGUUAUUGACGCUGAAGCACGAAAGCGUGGGGAUCAAACAGG